CGGAUGGUACCGUUUGGGCCUUUGUUGGUCCAGCUGUGUCAGUCAUUGUUGUAAACAUGGUAAUUUUAUGGAUUGUAAUCCGUAUUAUUGUACAUCUUGAGAGAUCUGAUGAAUAUAGGCAGAUCAGGUCAAGUAUCAAAGGCGCCAUUUUCCUUCUUCCUCUCUUAGGUUUGACUUGGAUAUUUGGACUCAUGGCUGUAAAUGAAGAUACAAUCAUUUUUCAGUAUCUUUUUGCUAUCUUUAAUUCGC
This is a long non-coding RNA of Saccostrea echinata, 249 nucleotides long. RefSeq lists it as uncharacterized. NCBI's taxonomy places the organism in Eukaryota, Metazoa, Mollusca, Bivalvia, Ostreida, Ostreidae. The transcript has 3 exons. The record is from RefSeq and is a predicted model, not a curated record.